Molecule: ribosomal RNA, 306 nt
Filed under: Amoebophrya sp.
Lineage: Eukaryota; Dinophyceae; Syndiniales; Amoebophryaceae
Description: SSU rRNA
Rfam family: Eukaryotic small subunit ribosomal RNA
Source: RNAcentral
UAGCGUAUAUUAAAGUUGUUGCGGUUAAAAAGCUCGUAGUUGGAUUUCUGUUGAGGGACGUCGGUCCGCACUAUGUGCGUGUAUCUGACUGUGCCUCGGCAUCCUCUCGAAUAUCGGUCUGCGCUUCAUUGCGUGGGUCGGACUUCGGGACUUUUACUUUGAGGAAAUUAGAGUGUUCACGGCAGGCAAGCGCCCUGAAUAUAUUAGCAUGGAAUAAUGAUAUAGGAUCUUGGUCCUAUUUUGUUGGUUUCUAGGGCUAAGAUAAUGAUUAAUAGGGACAAUUGGGGGCAUUCGUAUUAACGCGUC